GGCAGGAGAAUUGUUUGAACCUGGGAGGCGGAGGUUGCAGUGAGCCUAGAUCGCGCCACUUCACUCCAGCCUGGGCAGAAGAGUGAAACUCUUUGAGAGUUUUUUUUGAGACAGAGUCUCAAAAAGAACCCAGUCGGGUGCAGUGCCUCACACCUGUAAUCCUAGUACUUUGGGAGGCCCAGGUGGUUGGAUCACCUGAGGUCAGGAGUCCAAGACCAGCCUGGCUAACAUGGCAAAACCCCGUCUCUACUAAAAAUAGAAAAAUUAGCUGGGCGUGGUAGUGGGCGCCUAUAAUCCCAGCUACUCAGGAGGCUGAGGCAGGAGAAUCACUUGAACCCGGGAGGCAGAAGUUGCAAUGAGCCGAGAUCAUGCCAUCUCACUCCAGCCUGGGUGGGGAAGAGUGAAACUCCAUCUCAAAGAAAAAAAAAAAAAAAAAGAACCAAUCCCCUGAUGGCUGGAUCCCCAUCUCAAAUUCCUGCUCUAUUUCUUAAUUUCUUAAGGGGCUCUAGCUGAAGGCAUAACAGAUACUGUGUCAAAGUGAGAUGAGGCAGAUUGGUGGAGCAGAAAGAACUAGUCUGGAAGUUGAGUCCCCUGGUUCCCACUUAGUCCCUUCUUAUCUGUGGAUCAGCUUCCUCUCCUAUAUAAGAGGAUAACAUAGCAAUCCUUGCCCUGUUAUGAGGAUCAAAUGUGAUGAUAAAGUGUGCUUUAUCACCUGGUAAGGUUCUGAGCUGCUGUGGAAGCCAAAGACCCAGCAUUUGACAGUGAUACUAGGCAGCACGUGUUGUGCUGUGGAUGCAGUUACUCAUGGAGGAUUUGCAACUGCAACAGUUACCUCCACUCAGAGAACCAGGCUUUGCUGACACUGCCCAUGGUCCUAUGUGUGCCACCCUGGUGGAGACCUCCUCCUGAACACUUGGCAGACUGAGUUUCUUGAGGACAGACACUUCGAUGCACCUCUGAGUCCCCAGAGCUCACUGCAGUCAGAUACAGGGGGCCCUUUGGAAGGGGUCCAGUGAUGGUUUCUCACUCAGUAUGUUGACACCUGGACAGCACGGCAAGUCCCACAUUCUUUGGGAAAGAGAACGCUUGAUUUGGUGACAUUGUCCCUCCAGCUGCCAGCUGCACUGAGGGAUUACAUCCAUGCUACUCCCCUGACUACCCUAUCAGUGAAGACAAAACUAAGUGGACUUUGUGAACCAACUGGUAUAGGUAAAAAUAAUAAUAAUGAUAAUAAUUAAAAUAAAAUUAAGUGGAUUUGGGUAAGGGCCCUCCUAGGAGAAAUCACACUGGUAGGUCAGGUUCUGAUUCCUGGAGGCCCGUUUUAUGUGAAAAGUCUCAUAGACCAGCCUGGGCAACACAGUGAGACUGUCUCUACAAAAAAUAAAAACAAAUUUAGUUGGGCAUGGUGGCAUGUCCCUGUGGUCCCAGCUACUCAAGAGGCUGAGGCAGGAAGGUCACCUGAGCCUGGGAGGUUGAGACUGCUGUUAGCUGUAAUCACACCGCUGCACUUGAGCCUGGGAGACAGAGCAAGACCCUGUCUCAAACAACAACAACAACAAAUUCUUGUAGAGUUUGUGAGUUAGGGAUUAUUAUCCUUAGUUAUAGAUGAGCAAACUGAGGCUAACAGCAGUAGAGUGACUUGCUCAAGUCAAAUAGCUUAAGGGAAGUCUGGGUCCAAAGUCUAAGCUUUGCCUCCACUCCCACACGCUGUCUUUGUGCACUCCGGCCAGUGACCCAGGUUGGGGCCUGGAGAAAAACAGCCUGACUCCCCUGUUGCUCCACACUCCUCACCUCCCUAACUUAAAGAUCAGUUUAUCCUCAGACAAUUCUAAAUGAUUUCUGGCCGUUUCCAGAAAAUUAUCCAGAAAAGCAACAUUUGUCUGAUGCACAUACAUACAUACAUACACAGAAGACCUAAACUCGCAACACAUAAACUCAAAUCUAUCACACCUCCUGACACCCUCAAUCUCACAGGUGUCUCACAUACACCCUCUCUCUUUCACAAAAAGGACUCAUUCAAAGUUCUUUAGGGCACUUAUGGUAGGUGGUGACUGAGAGACAUUUAGGGCCUGCACUUCAGUGACUCUGCCAAGGAUAUCAGUGCCAGCACCCUAUCCACACAAGCUCUGAGGGCUAAGACUCUCAGUAAUAUCCAGGUAAGGAGGAUAUGAGGCUGGCUCCCCAGGGACCCACAACCCAAAGCAUCUUCUAGGUUCAAGGCAAGAUGAUUUUGGCAAAUCAUUUAUCUUUUCAGUUUCUUUAUCUGUAAUCUAAGAAUCAGAAUACCUACUUCGGUGGGAAGAUGUGAGAUUUAAAAUUAAGUAUGCCUGCCGGGCGUGGUGGCUCACGCCUGUAAUCCCAACACUUUGGAUCACGAAGUCAGAUCAAGACUAUCCUGGCUAACACAGUGAAACCCCGUCUCUACUAAAAAUACAAAAAAAUUAGCCGGGCAUGGUGGCACGCGCCUGUAGUCCCAGCUACUUGGGAGGCUGAGGCAGGAGAAUCACUUGAGCCGGGGAGCCGGAGGUUGCAGUGAUCCGAGAUCAUGCCACUGCACUCCAGCCUGGGCGACAGAGACUCUGUCUCAAAAAAAAAAAAAAAAAAUUAAGUAUCCCUAGCAUUCAGUCAAGAGUUCUCAUAUCUUUUUCCCCUCCUUUAUCUCAUCCCUACCUCCCUCUUCUCCUGGCCAUUCAAAUGCAAAGUCCGAUUGAGCAAUGAGCCCUGGAGCAGGCCUAGAGGGCCAAAUAAUCCCAUGAUGUGAAGAAACUCCAUUUCUCUUGCAACCAGGUUUAGAUGGUAUAUAUUCCGUAAUUUCUGAUUUCUGGGUGGCCUUGGAGGCUCGGAAUUUUUUUUUUUUCUUUGAGACGGAGUCUCGCUCUGUCAUCCAGGCUGGAGUGCAGUGGCGCGAUCUCAGCUCACUGCAAGCUCAGCUUCCCGGUUUCACGCCAUUCUCCUGGGAGGCUCGGAAUGUUUGAAGGAAUUUUUAUGACUGCUACUCACUGCCUUGAAAUGUUUCCCCUG
This 3021-nucleotide long non-coding RNA is filed under the name Homo sapiens (human). RNAcentral's name for it is "HSALNT0222896". The record is from RNAcentral. Lineage: Eukaryota; Metazoa; Chordata; Mammalia; Primates; Hominidae.